CCUCUACGAGUCGAGUUGUUUGGGAAUGCAGCUCUAAAUGGGUGGUAAAUUUCAUCUAAGGCUAAAUAAUGGCAAGAGACCGAUAGCGAACAAGUACCGUGAGGGAAAGAUGAAAAGCACCUUGAAAAGGGAGUUAAAUAGUGCGUGAAAUUGUUAAAAGGGAAACGAUUGAGACCAGUAUUGGCAGUGCUGGUAAGUGGCCUUGGGUGGGGGUAGGUUGGGAGUCCAAGAGCAGACUAUGCCUUGGGUCCCUNUCUCUCGCCGUCCAUGGCCAUGUUUUCCGGCACUGGCGAGUCAGCAUCAGCUUGGCUGGCUAGACAAAGGUUGGGGGAAGGUGGGGCGUUAGAGUUUUCUUUCGCUCUUUAUAGACUCCAGCCAACCUAGCCGGCUGGACUGAGGCGAGCAGCUGCGUAAUCAUCAGGUGUGCCUUGUAUCCCAAAGGUCAGGACUACGUGUAGACCAAACCCCCAAGAUCCAUCCCACCCUGAUGCAGUAGUAUCUGGAUGCUGACGAAAUG
RNAcentral lists this ribosomal RNA (517 nucleotides) under uncultured fungus. RNAcentral describes it as "eukaryotic LSU rRNA". It matches the Rfam family "Eukaryotic large subunit ribosomal RNA", at positions 255 to 636 of the family's 3401-position model. The record is from RNAcentral. Lineage: Eukaryota; Fungi.